UCUAACUCUCACCUAGUGAGAGAAGCUCUCGCCUCUCUCCUCUCUCCCUCCGCCGGCUUCUGGAUUGAGCGGCCGGAGAUGAUGAAGUUCGGCCGGAAUCUUCAUAGAUCCGCCGGAAACUUCAUCUUCUCCGGCGAGAUCUCCAGGUUCCGGUAACCUAGAUCCUCACCAGAAAAACACAAAUCAAGCAUCAAUCUCUUCGUUUUCUUGUUCUAAGCACGAAUCU
RNAcentral lists this long non-coding RNA (226 nucleotides) under Medicago truncatula (barrel medic). Its description in RNAcentral is "long non-coding RNA (MTRU_LNC001808)". Lineage: Eukaryota; Viridiplantae; Streptophyta; Magnoliopsida; Fabales; Fabaceae. The record is from RNAcentral.